RNAcentral lists this ribosomal RNA (894 nucleotides) under uncultured bacterium. Its description in RNAcentral is "bacterial SSU rRNA". It matches the Rfam family "Bacterial small subunit ribosomal RNA", at positions 8 to 916 of the family's 1533-position model. The record is from RNAcentral.
AGAGUUUGAUCCUGGCUCAGGACGAACGCUGGCGGCGUGCUUAACACAUGCAAGUCGAACGAUGAAGUUCCUUCGGGAAUGGAUUAGUGGCGAACGGGUGAGGAACACGUGAGAAACCUGCCUUUCAUUUUGGGAUAACUCCGGGAAACCGGGGCUAAAACCGAAUACUCCGUCUUGGCGGCAUCGCUAAGCCGGGAAAAAAUUUUGAUGAAAGAUGGUCUCGCGGCCUAUCAGCUAGUUGGUGAGGUAAUGGCUCACCAAGGCGACGACGGGUAGCCGGCCUGAGAGGGCGACCGGCCACACUGGGACUGAGACACGGCCCAGACUCCUACGGGAGGCAGCAGUGGGGAAUAUUGGGCAAUGGGCGCAAGCCUGACCCAGCGACGCCGCGUGAGGGAUGAAGGCCUUCGGGUUGUAAACCUCUUUCAGUAGGGAAGAAGCGAAAGUGACGAUACCUAAAGAAGAAGCACCGGCUAACUAUGUGCCAGCAGCCGCGGUAAUACAUAGGGUGCAAGCGUUGUCCGGAAUUAUUGGGCGUAAAGAGCUCGUAGGUCGUUUGCCGCGUCGAUUGUGAAAAUCUGAGGCUCAACCUCAGACCUGCAGUCGAUACGGGCAAACUAGAGUGUGGUAGGGGAGACUGGAAUUCCUGGUGUAGCGGUGGAAUGCGCAGAUAUCAGGAGGAACACCAAUGGCGAAGGCAGGUCUCUGGGCCAUAACUGACACUGAGGAGCGAAAGCGCGGGGAGCGAACAGGAUUAGAUACCCUGGUAGUCCGCGCCGUAAACGAUGGGCACUAGCUGUGAGAGCCUUCCACGGUUCUCGCGACGCAGCAAACGCAUUAAGUGCCCCGCCUGGGGAGUACGAUCGCAAGAUUAAAACUUAAAGGAAUUGACGG